Molecule: long non-coding RNA, 739 nt
Organism: Girardinichthys multiradiatus
Lineage: Eukaryota; Metazoa; Chordata; Actinopteri; Cyprinodontiformes; Goodeidae
Exons: 3
Source: RefSeq, a predicted model, not a curated record
GGCUUCGUAAGGAGCAGGAACCUGGAGGGAGGGAUGAGUGUUUGUCUCUCCCAACGUGAUCUGAUCCCUGUGACAGUGUUCUGGAUUCCAAGCACUUGUUCUCUGUAUCCAUGUUCUGGCAAGUUUUGGAAACAACUCCAACUUCCCGCUCCAACCGUGAGCCUCCCUUUCUUUCCUACCUGCAGCCCUGCAGUUCUGAGAUCACCUUGGGGAAACACGAAAUCAUGGCUCACCUGCCUGUCCCAUGAGCAUGGUAGUGGGGGGAAAAGUGGACUUGACUACCCAGGACUCGAGUAGGGAGAGGGGCACAUGAAAACCAUGAUUUUUUUUUUUGUGAUGCUUUUAUUUCACAUGAAUUGGGGACUCCAUUUAACUGGUGUUAGAAUUUAUUUUAAAUAUACUGAUAACAUCAACUGAGAGAAUGAAGUUUGUCACAGUCCACCCAACAUACCGGACAUUCUGGGGGCCCCCUCUUGGAGGAGCAAAAUGGCCCAACAGGAACUGGCGACAAGUGUAACGCCAGUGAGCCCAGAUUGAAUGACCUGCGGGCUAGACAUCACGCUGUCCAAAAAAGCAUAAAUCUGGAUAUCAAAAGAAUAAGAUAUAGCUCUUACGUUGGUUGAUGACACGGAUGGAUUCAAUAAAUCAUCAUUUAACCACCAGUUCUGGUCUUCUCAAUAUUGACUGGAUGCUACAGUAAGAGCUUGACCGCCACCUCAUUGCUGCACCACGUGGUCUC